AUUGAACGCUGGCGGCAGGCCUAACACAUGCAAGUCGAACGAGUGGCGGACGGGUGAGUAAUGUCUGGGACACCGCCAGAGGGAGGGGGAAAACCACUAGACACGGUAUCUAAUACCGCAUACUAUCGGAUGUGCCCAGAUGGGAUUAGCGAGUAGGUGGGGUAACGGCUCACCUAGGCGACGAUCCCUAGCUGGUCUGAGAGGAUGCCCAGCCACACUGGAACUGAGACACGGUCCAGACUCCUACGGGAGGCAGCAGUGGGGAAUAUUGCACAAUGGGCGCAAGCCUGAUGCAGCCAUGCCGCGUGUAUGAAGAAGGCCUUCGGGUUGUAAAGUACUUUCAGCGGGGAGGCGUUACCCGCAGAAGAAGCACCGGCUAACUCCGUGCCAGCAGCCGCGGUAAUAC
This 406-nucleotide ribosomal RNA is filed under the name uncultured bacterium. Its description in RNAcentral is "partial 16S ribosomal RNA". It matches the Rfam family "Bacterial small subunit ribosomal RNA", at positions 30 to 526 of the family's 1533-position model. The record is from RNAcentral.